RNAcentral lists this transfer RNA (96 nucleotides) under Heterodermia speciosa. It matches the Rfam family "tRNA". Rfam says of the family: Transfer RNA (tRNA) molecules are approximately 80 nucleotides in length. Their secondary structure includes four short double-helical elements and three loops (D, anti-codon, and T loops). Further hydrogen bonds mediate the characteristic L-shaped molecular structure. tRNAs have two regions of fundamental functional importance: the anti-codon, which is responsible for specific mRNA codon recognition, and the 3' end, to which the tRNAs corresponding amino acid is attached (by aminoacyl-tRNA synthetases). tRNAs cope with the degeneracy of the genetic code in two manners: having more than one tRNA (with a specific anti-codon) for a particular amino acid; and 'wobble' base-pairing, i.e. permitting non-standard base-pairing at the 3rd anti-codon position. Lineage: Eukaryota; Fungi; Ascomycota; Lecanoromycetes; Caliciales; Physciaceae. The record is from Rfam by way of RNAcentral.
GCCUGGGUGGCACAAUUGGUUAGCGCGUGAGACUUUUAAGAAAUAUCGAAUUUCAAGAAAAUCUUAAGGUUGAGGGUUCGAGCCCCUCCUCGGGCG